UAAGCCAAUCCCACAAAUCUGUUCUCAGUUCGGAUCGCAGUCUGCAACUCGACUGCGUGAAGCUGGAAUCGCUAGUAAUCGCGGAUCAGCAUGCCGCGGUGAAUACGUUCCCGGGCCUUGUACACACCGCCCGUCACACCACGAGAGUUUGUAACACCCGAAGUCGGUGAGGUAACCUUUUAGGAGCCAGCCGCCGAAGGUGGGACAGAUGAUUGGGGUGAAGUCGUAACAAGGUAGCC
This 239-nucleotide ribosomal RNA is filed under the name uncultured bacterium. RNAcentral's name for it is "partial 16S ribosomal RNA". It matches the Rfam family "Bacterial small subunit ribosomal RNA", at positions 1264 to 1501 of the family's 1533-position model. The record is from RNAcentral.